AAUCAACGCUGGCGGCGCGCCUAACACAUGCAAGUCGCACGAGAAAGGCUCCUUCGGGGGCCGAGUACAGUGGCGCACGGGUGAGUAACACGUGGAUACCUGCCCUCAAGUGGGGAAUAACUUUGGGAAACCGGGGCUAAUACCGCAUACGUUCGAGAGAAGAAAGCAGCAAUGCGCUUGAGGAGGGGUCCGCGGCUGAUUAGCUAGUUGGUGGGGUAAAAGCCUACCAAGGCGAAGAUCAGUAGCCGGCCUGAGAGGGCACACGGCCACACUGGCACUGAGACACGGGCCAGACUCCUACGGGAGGCAGCAGUGGGGAAUCUUGCACAAUGGAGGAAACUCUGAUGCAGCGACGCCGCGUGAGCGUAUAAGCCUUUCGGGGUGUAAAGCUCUUACGCCAGGGACGAUAAUGACGGUAC
RNAcentral lists this ribosomal RNA (419 nucleotides) under uncultured bacterium. RNAcentral's name for it is "bacterial SSU rRNA". It matches the Rfam family "Bacterial small subunit ribosomal RNA", at positions 32 to 478 of the family's 1533-position model. The record is from RNAcentral.